Molecule: ribosomal RNA, 220 nt
Filed under: uncultured bacterium
Lineage: Bacteria
Description: partial 16S ribosomal RNA
Rfam family: Bacterial small subunit ribosomal RNA
Source: RNAcentral
CGUAGUCAACCUGCCUUACCGUCCGGGAUAACUAGCCGAAAGGUUAGCUAAUACCUGAUACGAUCGUCGAGCGGCAUCGCUUGACGAUGAAAGCAGCAAUGCGCGGUUAGAGGGGGCUGCGGCCCAUUAGCUAGUUGGUGAGGUAAUGGCCCACCAAGGCAACGAUGGGUAGCUGGUCUGAGAGGACGACCAGCCACACUGGGACUGAGACACGGCCCAG